This 405-nucleotide unclassified non-coding RNA is filed under the name soil metagenome. RNAcentral's name for it is "partial contains 5.8S ribosomal RNA, internal transcribed spacer 2, and large subunit ribosomal RNA". The stretch from base 1 to 121 matches the Rfam family "5.8S ribosomal RNA", at positions 35 to 154 of the family's 154-position model. The record is from RNAcentral.
GAUGAAGAACGUAGCGAAAUGCGAUAAGUAAUGUGAAUUGCAGAAUUCAGUGAAUCAUCGAAUCUUUGAACGCACCUUGCGCCCUUUGGCCAUUCCGAAGGGCAUGCCUGUUUGAGUAUCAUGAACACUUCAACUCUUUAUGGUUUUCCAUGAUGAGCUUGGACUCUGGGGGUUUUGCUGGCUCACAGUCGGCUCCUCUAAAAUGAAUCAGCUUACCAGUGUUUGGUGGGUAUCAUGGGUGUGAUAACUAUCUACGCUUGUGGUUUUUCCACCAGGUAACCUUCAGCAGUGGAGGUUCGCUGGAGCUCAUAGAUGUCUCUCCUCAGUGAGGACAGCCCUUUGAAUGUUUGAUCUCAAAUCAGGUAGGACUACCCGCUGAACUUAAGCAUAUCAAUAAGCGGAGGA